This 73-nucleotide ribosomal RNA is filed under the name Euphrasia hirtella. RNAcentral's name for it is "partial 26S ribosomal RNA". The stretch from base 17 to 73 matches the Rfam family "Eukaryotic large subunit ribosomal RNA", at positions 1 to 57 of the family's 3401-position model. The record is from RNAcentral. Lineage: Eukaryota; Viridiplantae; Streptophyta; Magnoliopsida; Lamiales; Orobanchaceae.
ACUGAGCUUUCGACCGCGACCCCAGGUCAGACGGGAUUACCCGCUGAGUUUAAGCAUAUCAAUAAGCGGAGGA